UCUGGAGUUAAAGGGGGGUUACUCUAUCAAGGAGCUGGCCAGGUAAACAAAAUGGCAGAAAUCCAUUUAGUGCCAGUACGUCUUGUACGUGGUCAAACUUGUGCAUUGUGUUCCUCUUUCAUAUUCCGAAAGUCGUAUCGUUCACUCCAGUCAGAAAAAUCUGCAGUAUACCGAAAAUAUCUGCAGCAGUUGGAUAUGAAAAUCGAAGGACUUAUCUGUUCAUGCUGUGUUAAUAAAAUUAACCGAUUGAACAAAAUCGACAAUGACAUUUUAACGAAAAUGGAUAUUCUGCAAGCUGCAAGACAAGAGCUGAUGAAAGAACUUUACGAAUCACACUACAAGGAAACGUACACGCCAGUGACAGAAGAACAGAGAACUGAAAACACCUCCAAAGAUGAUGAUCAGUCAUGAAUUUAGAACUAGAAGUCAUCAUCAGGUUUGUCAUCUCAUUUUCUCAAAAGGUCUGAACCAUAAGCGAAAUCAAGCUUAUGCUAUGACAUGAGGGUCCUAUGUUUUGAUGAAGUCUUUCUAAUGCAAGAGCAGAUAUCGAUUUUGCAAUCACCAGUCCUAGCAAGCAAAGGUUCAGGCUGGCACAGACACAAUAGAAGUAACUUCAAAGCAAGCUUGGGAGUAACAGGUAAAGCUGGCACUGAAAGUCAUGGCAGAGGUAACAGCUGAGGCAGACACGGAGAGUCAUGGCAGAAGUAACAGCUAAAGCAGGCACUGACAGUCAUGGCAGAGGUAACAGCUUAGGCAGACACAGACAGCCAUGGCAGAGGUAACAGCUAAAUCUGGAACUGAAAGCCAUGGCAGAAGUAACAGCUGAGGCAGACACAGACAGCCAUGGCAGAAGUAACAGCUAAAGCUGGCACUGACAGCCAUGGCAGAAGUAACAGCUGAGGCAGACACAGACAGUCAUGGCAGAGGUAACAGCUAAAGCUGGCACUGACAGUCAUGGCAGAGGUAACAGCUGAGGCAGACACAGACAGCCAUGGCAGAAGUAACAGCUGAGGCAGACACACACAGCCAUGGCAGAAGUAACAGCUGAGGCAGACACAGACAGUCAUGGCAGAGGUAACAGCUAAAGCUGGCACUGACAGCCAUGGCAGAGGUAACAGCUGAGGCAGACACAGACAGCCAUGGCAGAGGUAACAGCUAAAGCAGACACAGACAGUCAUGGCAGAGGUAACAGCUAAAGCAGGCACUGACAGUCAUGGCAGAGGUAACAGCUGAGGCAGACACAGACAGCCAUGGCAGAGGUAACAGCUAAAGCAGACACAGACAGUCAUGGCAGAAGUAACAGCUAAAGCAGACACAGACAGUCAUGGCAGAAGUAACAGCUAAAGCUGGCACUGAAAGUCAUGGCAGAGGUAACAGCUGAGGCAGACACACACAGCCAUGGCAGAGGUAACAGCUAAAGCAGACACAGACAGUCAUGGCAGAAGUAACAGCUAAAGCUGGCACUGAAAGUCAUGGCAGAGGUAACAGCUGAGGCAGACACAGACAGCCAUGGCAGAAGUAAUAGCUAAAGCAGGCACAGUCAUGACAAGCUGGCACAGGAUGUCCUUGCUAGGACUAUAACAAUGCACUUUGUAAUGAUUCAGUUUGUAUCUGUAAUGUAAGGUUGCAAUACAACACUUGAAAAACUUGCCAUUGGGGGACGGGCUUUAUCCUGCAAAUGGUCCCAUUGUUAUUCUAGGUCCAUGCAGUCACUGUUAUUAGUGAAUCUGUGACAUUGUUUCUAUGCUGUCUUGGAAACUAAAGGGUAUCUAUGGUAUUUUUCACUUCUAUGCAACGCCUUAAUCUUAAACUUUCACUGUUUGGGAUUUUGACAAGGACCCUUGGAUUUUCAUGCUUAAUUUCAAACACUGCUGUGUAACUAUGGAAACAGCAAGACUGAUGUACAUCAUGACAUUUGAGUUACCAUGCAGACUUCAUGUUGUUUGAAUGGCUUGAAGUUGUGUAAGGACUGCUGCUGUUGCUACUAGCUUACGUGGGCCUAGUCCCUCUUCAGAGAAUAGUAUUCAACUACGGGAAUGACUAAGAAACCCAACCGUGACAUAUUGAGUGAACUUGAGAGCCAAACUAACAAUGGUUCGAGAAUUCUUGUCCAUAACAUCAGAAAAUAGUACUUGACACUUCAUUUUCAUACUUAAUAACAUGUUCUAUAUAUAAUUUUUAACCUGUAUAGAAUACUAAGAAUGAUAUACCAUGUCCUGCUAGGAUACUCAUAAUGUGGCACAACUUCGCAGAGCACCUAGUCUUCAUUGUAAUGACAAGCUGUCAUUGUAUUUAUUAGUUUUUCUAGUCAACAAUGUAGGGAAAUAUUCACCAUUGAUGAUUUCAGGUAUUUUUAUCUAGUCAUUCAUUAAUGAUAUGUUCAAAGUAAACAUGGUAAAUCACUGUUAAAACAAAGUAAUAAGAAAUGUUAGACGUUUCACCGGACAAUGUAAAUAGAUCAGGAUACUUGAUUUUAUAUACUUCUGACUAAUAUUUAAUCUCUUUGUCCAACAGUAGCAUAAGGAACUAAUUUUGAUCAUGAGAAGAAAGCACCAUGUAUCAUGAAUGUACAUUUCAGAUGCAGAUGGGGAAAAUGUUAUAUAAUAUGACAUUUUCCUAAGUCCGCAAUCAGGCCAGAUAUAGGAUACUGAAUACCUCUUUACCAUUAGUAAUUCACUAUGACGUAAGAUUUGAAGUAUAUAUAGAAAUGUACCUGUUACCCUGAAUGGAAUAAAUAAAUAUAUUAUGA
RNAcentral lists this long non-coding RNA (2749 nucleotides) under Haliotis rufescens (red abalone). RNAcentral's name for it is "uncharacterized LOC125382117". The record is from RNAcentral. Lineage: Eukaryota; Metazoa; Mollusca; Gastropoda; Lepetellida; Haliotidae.